ACUGCGUCAAGUCAUAGUCAGUUUCUCCGUGUUUUCUUUGUACCCACACUUGCACGUUUUUGAUCAACGUGUGUGUCCAUCUACCUUUUGUUGUUUCGUCCCAUGGUUUCUGCCACUCAUUAAGGAUGGUUUGACUUUCUUGCUGUUUCUCUUGUUUAUUUAGUCGUCUGCCCGCGUUUUCGCUUUGCCAUAGAUUCUUUUUAGCUCCAUCGCCAUAAUAUCUGGAGGAAUGAUACCUGAAAUAAUUCCAGCCGCUUCGUGUGACACAGUCCGCAAUGCUCAAGCUACCCUGAUUGCGCUUAACCGAACUACUGCUUUUGCCGUAUUUGCAUAUGCUGGUCCCCAUAUGGGUCCGUGGUCGCCUCUAGCUUCUUCCUACUAGUUAUUUCCACCGCUUCAGUUUUUUGGCCUACUAACUGGAGCUUUGCAUUUCUGAGCCAUUCCUUUAUUUUUAUCGCCGCGUGGUUGCAUUGAUACUCUAUCUGGCUUAUUUCUUUUGACAGUACCGUUACUAGUACUGAGCCUUGUGGUACACCGCCUGUUACAAUGUAGUUUUUAGGACCUUCUUCUGUUCAUAUAGCAGUAAUCUGUCGGAGAGGUAGCUGGAUAUGAUCCUCAGCAAGUAGAGUGGUGUCUUCUUUUGUUUCAUAGCUUCUAUGAUAUGCGGCCAAUAGGCCGAGUUGAAGGCAUUUUUUACGUCAAACGCCCCUAUCGCGCAGCAUUCUUUGGAGCCACCUGGUUCCUUCAAUUGCCGUGCUUGCGACCUCUGUUAACUUUUUAACGGCGUCUAUUAUUGAUCUGUGCCUUCGAAAACCAUAUUGGUUUUCGGCUAAGCCCGGUGGCUCUCUUUCUAGAUGUUGCUCUAGCCUCACACAUAUUAUACGCUCUAGUAUUUUCCCCAUUGUGUCCGACAUACAUAAUGGUCGGUAGGAUCCUGGCCCCCCUGCUGGUUUAUUUGGCUUUUGUAUAAGCACUAGCCGCUGUUUUUCAUUGGGAUGCCAUCUAGGCCUGAUGCUUUAGUAUUUGCGAAUCUCUAUGCUGCUUCUAUAGUUUUUUGUUCAGUGACUACCGGUACGUUUGUAGCACCAGAUUAUUUUAUUUGCUGCCUUUGUAGCAAUUGCGUCGGAAAAAGAGUUUGGACAACCGCAUUUAAUAAUCUAGGACAUGUAGGUGCUUGUCCUUUUUGGUCUUUAAUCUUUGCAAUGACGAUUUUGUAUGCAUCUCCCCACGGCUUUCCUUCGACCUUGUUGCAGAGCUCUUUAAAACAACAGACCUUGAUCUUCUUUAUUGCUUUCUUGAGUUCAUGCCGCUUCAAUGUGAAAUCUGCCGUUUGCCGUCCCCUUUGACACUGGCGCCUCGCUUUGUAGCAUUCACUUCUUAGAGCUUCAAUAGUCUCAUUCCACCAGUAUGCGGGUUUCCUGUAUGUGCUUCGUUUUUUUCUACACAUGGCGGCAUCGCAGGCUUUACUGACAUGUUUAAUAAGGCAUUCAACCAUCUGUUCUAUGUCUAUAGCGUAGUUCGGAUCGUCAUCUAAUAUUAAUUUGUAUAUAUCCUCAUCAAAGGUUUCAGCUUUCCAGAAUUCCCAAGUGGUCACUGUGUGUAUACAAGUCGAUCACUUGCCAUGUACACGACCGCACUAGGAGCUACUAUCAAACGCGAUAUCGAUUACAGAACCGCGGCCGUUUUUUCGAAAGUAUUUCUGUUACCGGUAUUCAGCAAGACGCUGUUCAGUACCGAAAAAGCCUUCAGAAGAGUUUCUCCUCGUGUAUUUGUUUACGUGCUGCCCUAUUCCACUGCCCACCUGCCACUACGUUCAUUGUGGUGUUCGACACUUCUCGUACCAGGUUAUCAAUGAUUCUUUCAUAUUCACCUUGUGCGAUGCUUGGCGAGAUGUAACAGCUAUGAAAGUUUAUUUCGCAGAUUUUUGCCCGCGUGUAAUAGGCUUGUCUUGUUAGUAGCUUUUCUUGGAACACGUUUUCUUCACAGACACAAAUGGCCGCUUUGCCCGUAAGAUCGGAGGUCCACGUUGCUGCGCUAAUGUUUUUGUAUUGUUCGCAGACUAUUGCCACGUCGAUUUUCUGCUCACACACUGUAUGCAUACGAAGGUCUUGAGCUGCUACGCAGUGGUUGAGGUUGAGCUGUAGAACUCUCAUAUUUUGGCUCUUUUGCACGCUUUUUGGUAGAAAAGACAUUUCUUUGGCAACUAACCUGCUACUACAGGCCGACCGGCUACCCGCGACCUGCCGACCCCCCGGUAGCUUAGAGGUUAGCUAAAAAGUUUGAUCACGUUAAGAUCAAACCAACGGGAAAUAUGUACAUAUUUAAUCCUUUGACAAAGAUGACGAAGACAAUGACAACGACGAUGAUAGUGAUGUUAUGCGCAGUUUUGACGACGCUGGCGCAAGAAGCAUCACAUUUGAAUGUCAACAACGGCAAGAACAAAGGAGAAAUGCUGAAAGCGAACGUGUUGCAAGAAAUAUCGGGCAGAAACGACGAUAAACCUACAGUGUGCAAAAGAGGAUCGGACCACAAUGGCACAUAACCACCAUACAAACAUAAUGCUGGAAAAAACACUUUUCAUGAGCAACAGCUGACCUAAGAUACAUUUUCCCUUCAACUUCCAUUAUUGUAAUUUUAUGUAAAAAAAGUAAAGAAGGGCUAACUUCGGGUGCAACCGAACAUUUUAUACUGUUGCAACUUGCAAGAAUUAAAGCAAAGGAAAUAAUUUAAGCUGCGAAACGCCAACCAGAGGAUCAGAAUUCAAGCAAUUAUUGUGGUAGUAUCGAUCC
Molecule: long non-coding RNA, 2789 nt
Organism: Bactrocera neohumeralis
Lineage: Eukaryota; Metazoa; Arthropoda; Insecta; Diptera; Tephritidae
Exons: 3
Source: RefSeq, a predicted model, not a curated record